RNAcentral lists this small nucleolar RNA (178 nucleotides) under Procavia capensis (Cape rock hyrax). RNAcentral describes it as "Small nucleolar RNA SNORA81 (ENSPCAG00000019679.1)". It matches the Rfam family "Small nucleolar RNA SNORA81". The record is from RNAcentral. Lineage: Eukaryota; Metazoa; Chordata; Mammalia; Hyracoidea; Procaviidae.
UUCUUCUUGUAUAAGCACUGUGCUAAAAUUGCAGAAACAAGGACUGUGUCCAGGUUUUUGUAAUGAUGCUAGCAGAGUACACACGAGAAGAAAAGGAACAGCACUCUAUCGGAAAGACGGGGGCGGACCUCUUUCUUAAUGUCCAGUGUCCUUGGUCCUAAGAUGGGGUGCGAUAAAA